Molecule: ribosomal RNA, 497 nt
Filed under: uncultured bacterium
Lineage: Bacteria
Description: partial 16S ribosomal RNA
Rfam family: Bacterial small subunit ribosomal RNA
Source: RNAcentral
GAUGAACGCUGGCGGCGUGCCUAAUACAUGCAAGUCGAGCGAACAGACGAGGAUCUUGCUCCUCUGACGUUAGCGGCGGACGGGUGAGUAACACGUGGAUAACCUACCUAUAAGACUGGUAUAACUUCGGGAAACCGGAGCUAAUACCGGAUAAUAUAUUGAACCGCAUGGUUCAAUAGUGAAAUACGGUUUUGCUGGCACUUAUAGAUGGAUCCGCGCCGCAUUAGCUAGUUGGUAAGGUAACGGCUUACCAAGGCAACGAUGCGUAACCGAAGUGAGAGGGUGAUCGGCCACACUGGAACUGAGACACGGUCCAGAGGCCUAAGGGACGGAGCAGUAGGGAACCGUCCGCAAUGGGCGAAAGCCUGACGGAGCAACGCCGAGUGAGUGAUGACGGUCUUCGGAUCGUAAAACUGUGCUAUUAGGGAAGAACAAAUGUGUCAGUAACUAUGCACGUCUUGACGGUACCUAAUCAGAAAGCCACGGCUAACUACGUG